CCUACGGGAGGCAGCAGUGAGGAAUAUUGGUCAAUGGACGAGCGUCUGAACCAGCCAAGUCGCGUGAGGGAUGACUGCCCUAUGGGUUGUAAACUUCUUUUAUCAAGGAAUAAAACGAGGCACGUGUGCCUUUUUGCAUGUACUUUAUGAAUAAGGCUCGGCUAACUCCGUGCCAGCGACCGCGGUAAUACGGAGGAUCCGAGACUUAUUCGGAUUUAUUGGGUUUAAAGGGAGCGUAGAUGGGUUGUUAAGUCAGUUGUGAAAGUUUGCGGCUCAACCGUAAAAUUGCAAUUGAUACUGGCAGUCUUGAGUACAGUUGAGGUAGGCGGAAUUCGUGGUGUAGCGGUGAAAUGCUUAGAUAUCACGAAGAACCCCGAUUGCGAAGGCAGCUUACUAAACUGUGACUGACAUUGAUGCUCGAAAGUGUGGGUAUCAAACAGGAUUAGAUACCCCAGUAGUC
This 460-nucleotide ribosomal RNA is filed under the name uncultured bacterium. Its description in RNAcentral is "partial 16S ribosomal RNA". It matches the Rfam family "Bacterial small subunit ribosomal RNA", at positions 338 to 795 of the family's 1533-position model. The record is from RNAcentral.